UACGGAGGGGGCAAGCGUUGUUCGGAAUUAUUGGGCGUAAAGGGCGCGUAGGUGGCCUGACAAGUCGGGUGUGAAAUCCCUCGGCUCAACCGGGGAACUGCAUUCGAUACUGUCGGGCUAGAGUCCGGGAGGGGAUGGUGGAAUUCCCAGUGUAGCGGUGAAAUGCGUAGAGAUUGGGAAGAACACCGGUGGCGAAGGCGGCCAUCUGGACCGGCACUGACACUGAGGCGCGAAAGCCAGGGGAGCGAAUGGG
RNAcentral lists this ribosomal RNA (253 nucleotides) under uncultured bacterium. RNAcentral describes it as "partial 16S ribosomal RNA". It matches the Rfam family "Bacterial small subunit ribosomal RNA", at positions 524 to 776 of the family's 1533-position model. The record is from RNAcentral.